CACAUAUUCCAUUUAUGCUGGAAUCAAUGCUGGAAUUGACAUGGUAAUGGUUCCCCUUAACUUCACAGAUUUCAUAGAUGGCUUAACCUCUUUGGUGAAAAGUAAUGUCAUUCCAAUGAGUCGAAUUAAUGAUGCAGUAAGGAGAAUCUUGAGGGUAAAGUUUGUUAUGGGCCUUUUUGAGAACCCUUUGGCUGAUCAUAGCCUAGUUCACCAGCUUGGGAGUAAGAAACAUAGAAAAUUGGCUAGGGAAGCUGUAAGGAAAUCUUUGGUUCUAUUGAAAAAUGGUGAAAAUCCUAACCAACCACUUCUCCCUCUUCCUAAAAGAGCUUCAAAGAUAUUGGUUGCUGGAAGCCAUGCUAAUAAUCUAGGAUAUCAAUGUGGUGGUUGGACCAUUGAAUGGCAAGGAGUUACAGGAAACAAUGUCACAAAAGGUACAACAAUCCUCAGUGCAAUAAAAAACACAGUUCAUAAAGAUACUGAGGUAGUCUAUGAGGAAAAUCCUGAUUUGGACUAUGUGAAGUCCAAUAAUUUUUCAUAUGCCAUUGUGGUAGUUGGAGAGAAACCGUAUGCUG
RNAcentral lists this small RNA (572 nucleotides) under Vigna angularis var. angularis. RNAcentral's name for it is "Non-protein coding transcript". Lineage: Eukaryota; Viridiplantae; Streptophyta; Magnoliopsida; Fabales; Fabaceae. The record is from RNAcentral.